This 318-nucleotide ribosomal RNA is filed under the name Triticum aestivum (bread wheat). RNAcentral's name for it is "partial small subunit ribosomal RNA". The record is from RNAcentral. Lineage: Eukaryota; Viridiplantae; Streptophyta; Magnoliopsida; Poales; Poaceae.
AUGCCAACGCUUGGAUCUGCAUCCGUAGAUGCCAGAUCGAGGCAGGGGCUCACCGUCGACCACCUCUCCCCUCGAGUGUCAUGGCUGGGGAGUUGGCGGUGGUCGGUGCGCCAGCGGUGUACCCCGGUGGUGGUUGCAGUACGUGGGCAUGCCGGCGGCCCCAUCGAUGGCAGCAACUCAGCAACACACAUUGAAGCCCACGGUGCUCACCGUCCCCCCCCUUGCAGUCCACGUCGUCGUGCCUUUCUUCGUCGUUGGUGCCGUGACUCCGAGCAGAUCGAAAACCCAUCCCUCCCUCUUCCUCUCCUAGCUACUUAG